AUGACACACUGGAAUACUGCUCCACGGUGUGGGAUCCUCACACACACAGAAACAUUGAUCGGUUAGAACAAAUCAACACCAAGGCGGCUAGGUUCAUUACAAACAAUUACACUCGAACACCUGGAAUCACAACACGGAUCAAACAACAGAUAAACAUGGAACCUCUUCACAUACGCAGACAAGCACACAGACUUACACCUAUGUACAAGAUCACAAACACUCACAUUGACAUUGACCCACAAACAUACCUACAUAAGACAAACAGUCAACGUACUCGUAACACACACAUCCAUAAAUACCAAACAUAUCACACUAACACUGACGCAUACAAGCACUCAUACUUUCCACACACCAUACAUGACUGGAACAGCCUCCCUCAACAGAUUUUAGAUUGAGGUACAGUAGACUCAUUCAGAAAACAAAUACAUACUCUCUUGUCACCACAACACACCAACACUAACAACUACACUGGAUUCACUUCCCUCCCUGCACACUCGGCUCCCCUGUCCCCCCAACAGCCAACACAAAUAUGCGUGUUAUGCACCUAUACAGGUGCCCUGCGCAUUAUUGUCCAGAUCUAGAUCCAGAUAUUUGUUGCACUUCAAAAAGCUGGUGACACCUUACUAGAUCAUUUACAAAGAUAUCAAUCUUCUUAAUAGAUUUUCAGUGACAAAUGAGGGGCAGCAGUACUCUGCAGUGUGGCCUGUCCUGUGCACAAAUUCAGAUGGAGACGUGAUUGAGGUGCACUACAACAACCGCACCAUGAAGCCCCUCCAAGCUCCCACCCAUGUGGUGAUACCCUUCUACCAUGCUUACAAGCUCUUCUCAGACAAGCUUCGUGACCUUUCAAGCAGUCUAGAGUUCAGCAUGGUACCAGGUGACCUAGUGGCUUUCAACAAUCGCAGGGUCCUUCAUGGUCGUACUGCCUUUAAUCCUACCAAAGUGGAUAGACACCUUGUUGGCUGCUAUGUUGACAUGGAUGAAGCCCUCUCCAAAUAUGAUUUGCUCCAGGCCAAAUUUCACACAAAAUGAUGAGAUGUGAUACCUGUCAAGGUUGUGGCAGCGAUUUAGACUAAUAUCACCAUGAACAGUGAAGAGAAGGUAUUCAUUUUAUUUACUAAGGCUAAAAAUACAUGCAAUAUUAAAAUACUGUAUAUUCUGAUAUUUAAGUUGAUAUUGCCUAUGUCAGCAACACUUUUUUCACUUACAUAAAACAUUCUUGAGAUACAGGAGUCACUUUUGAUGGCAAAUGUGUAAUCACAUCAAUAGUCUUAGUACAAGUUGAAGGUUUUAGUUGGUGACCUCAAUAUACAAAAAUUAAGGUAUUUAUAUGUCAGCUGUUUUUAUGUAAUGGCUAUGUAAAUCUGUGAUGUACAGAUCAUAAACACAUGAGUACAAUGACAUGGAUGGGAGGUGACCCAUGCUUGUGGAUAUGAUUGCUGUUUGUUUGGAGAUGCAGAUUUCUAGCAAACUUUAGGUUUGCAGCCAAUUCACAUGUUGUUCAGUCAUUACAACUAAUAAACUUGCCUUAACAAAGCACAUGUGUUGUUUUUCUGUUUAGCUGCAUGCCACUAGCAAAUCAUAAGAAUAGAUGAGUGUGGGUAAUAUACAAAACUUUCUACCAUCAAACCAUCAUGUCAUGAAAACUUAAAGAAAUUUCUUUGUAAAAGAAUAUUUAUAUGAUGCAGAAUGGCUUGCUUGUGCUUGGUCUGUUUCUAAAAUAUUCAUUACCAUAUUUGCAUGCAUAGAGCUUAAGGAAUAUAUAUUCAAGGUCAUAGUAAAUAUAUUGGAGCCCCUUUUUACAAUGUAAAGAUAUUGACAGCGAUAGAAAGUAGUGUGUAAUUACAGCUGUGCAAGAUGGGGAUUAUAACAUCACAAAGAUAAAAAAAUUUCAUCAGUGUUAUAAAAAAAAUAAUAUAUAAAAUAAUAUGCACUUAUUCAAAAGUGGAAACAUACACUUUCUGAAGUCAAAACUAUUUUGACAUUCUUUUGAUACUUAAAUAUUUUAAAAUUGAGAAGGUAAGAGAAUGAACCUGUAUAAAACUGUCACUCUAAUCAAGUGAUAGAGAGGGAAAGAAUUAGUGUCAGUUGCAAUUGUAUAUAUUACUCAUAUUAAUCUAACCACAUCAAUUUCACUACUACUGAAACAUUUGCUGUUAGAAAAAAGAAAAAAAAAAAAAUAUAUAAAUAUAUAUAUAUAGAUAUAAAUAUAUAAAUAUAUAUAUAUAUAUAUAUAUAUAUAUAUAUAUAUAUAUAUAUAUAUAUAUAUAUAUAUAUACACACACACACACAGGUAACUCGAUUUAUGCGAGUAUUGUGUCCUUGAAGAGGUCGCAUAAAUCAAAAACAAUGUAAAUCAAACAAGAGGUAGGUUUGAAGGUUUCUAUCAAAAAAUAAAUAUUCACUUCAUUCAAAAGAGAGAGAGAGAGAGAGAGAGAGAGAGAGAGAGAGAAUAUCCAUAUCACCGAGAUAUCCACUUAGGCACUCGGUCUCAGCCUCACUUGUGUGAGGAAGAAAUGAGGGACACCAUGAGCGACUGGCUAGUAUUGGUACCGGUACUGAGCAGUCUGGUACCUGCGUACCAUAUAGCUGGUACUGUUAGUACCGGUACUGGUGCCGGUACCUGCCCACCCCUAUUGUUGAGUAGCAUGACAACGUGGGUACUAUAUUGUUGUUCAAGUGGCACACAGGAAGAACUGAGCUCAGCUGUGUGGCCGCGGCGCCGUGUGAGUCCAGUUGUGUGAGACAUCUGGUGGCCACUCCAUAAAAUAUCGUGUAUAAGUGAAAAAACGUGUAAAUUAAACAUUUAUUUGGAUUUUGGAUCCCGCGUUAUUUCAAAAAUGCGUAAACUAAACUUGUGUAAAUUGAGUUACCUGUGUAUAUAUAUAUAUAUAUAUAUAUAUAUAUAUAUAUAUAUAUAUAUAUAUAUAUAUAUAUAUAUAUAUAUAUAUAUAUAUAUAUAUAAUGGCUACCUGGUUUGUUAGGCUAUUUGAAAUAAUUUAUUAUUUUGUUUGUAUGCACAUUGCUAAGUACCCCAUUAACAUUUUUAAGUAUGAAAAUAUGAAUAUCACAUAAUAUGUAUCCUCCUUCAUGUAAUUUAUUUUAUAUGGUCACAGAGCAUCCUCCCCCACAUGUGAAUGGGAUUCAGCUGUGUCUUCAUAAUGUUUUGAUGAUUGUUAUUAAAGACAACAAAAACA
This is an RNA transcript of Eriocheir sinensis (Chinese mitten crab), 3197 nucleotides long. It is a transcript of the gene named gamma-butyrobetaine dioxygenase-like, with no coding region annotated. The record is from RefSeq and is a predicted model, not a curated record. The transcript is spliced from 5 exons. Lineage: Eukaryota; Metazoa; Arthropoda; Malacostraca; Decapoda; Varunidae.